ACCCUGGUAGAUCAAUGCAGAUCAUCCCUCUCCAGUUGCGUGAUUCUAUGUAGGAAAGGUGCAGGGAAGCCGGAGGUUCGAAUCCUCCCUGGGGCA
Mycena galericulata is the source of this 96-nucleotide non-coding RNA. The record is from the annotation of a GenBank genome assembly. NCBI's taxonomy places the organism in Eukaryota, Fungi, Basidiomycota, Agaricomycetes, Agaricales, Mycenaceae.